UACAGAGGGCUCAAGCGUUGUUCGGAUUCAUUGGGCGUAAAGGGUGUGUAGGCGGCGCGCUAAGUCGGGCGUGAAAUUUCGGAGCUUAACUCCGAAACUGCAUUCGAUACUGGCGUGCUUGAGGACUGGAGAGGAGACUGGAAUUCAUGGUGUAGCAGUGAAAUGCGUAGAGAUCAUGAGGAAGACCAGUGGCGAAGGCGGGUCUCUGGACAGUUCCUGACACUGAGACACGAAGGCCAGGGGAGCAAACGGG
This 253-nucleotide ribosomal RNA is filed under the name uncultured bacterium. RNAcentral describes it as "partial 16S ribosomal RNA". It matches the Rfam family "Bacterial small subunit ribosomal RNA", at positions 524 to 776 of the family's 1533-position model. The record is from RNAcentral.